This 253-nucleotide ribosomal RNA is filed under the name uncultured bacterium. RNAcentral describes it as "partial 16S ribosomal RNA". It matches the Rfam family "Bacterial small subunit ribosomal RNA", at positions 524 to 776 of the family's 1533-position model. The record is from RNAcentral.
UACGUAGGGGGCUAGCGUUGUCCGGAAUCAUUGGGCGUAAAGCGCGUGUAGGCGGCCCGGUAAGUCCGCUGUGAAAGUCGGGGGCUCAACCCUCGGAUGCCGGUGGAUACUGUCGGGCUCGAGUACGGAAGAGGCGAGUGGAAUUCCUGGUGUAGCGGUGAAAUGCGUAGAUAUCUGGAGGAACACCGGUGGCGAAGGCGAAUCUCUGGACAGUUACUGACGCUGAGGCACGAAGGCCAGGGGAGCAAACGGG